GACGUAGGGGACGAGCGUUGUCCGGAUUCAUUGGGCGUAAAGGGCGCGUAGGCGGCCAGCACAAGUCAGUUGUGAAAUCUCCGAGCUUAACUCGGAACGGUCAACUGAUACUGUGCGGCUAGAGUGCGGAAGGGGCAACUGGAAUUCUUGGUGUAGCGGUGAAAUGCGUAGAUAUCAGGAGGAACACCGGUGGCGAAGGCGGGUCUCUGGGCAACAACUGACGCUGAGGAGCGAAAGCGUGGGGAGCGAACAGG
RNAcentral lists this ribosomal RNA (254 nucleotides) under uncultured bacterium. RNAcentral describes it as "partial 16S ribosomal RNA". It matches the Rfam family "Bacterial small subunit ribosomal RNA", at positions 524 to 776 of the family's 1533-position model. The record is from RNAcentral.